GGCACGAUUCCCAAGUCUGGUCAACGGGGCUGGUCUUAAGAACCAGUGCAAUAUGCUUCGUCGGUUCAAAUCCGGCUCGUGCUA
The sequence is a transfer RNA, 84 nucleotides long. It matches the Rfam family "tRNA". From Rfam's summary of the family: Transfer RNA (tRNA) molecules are approximately 80 nucleotides in length. The record is from Rfam.